GGGAAAGAUUUCCCCCUGACGAGGAGGGAGUACCCGGACCCGUUCUUUCCUUCCUGGACGUGCUAGGGUAAGGCGAGGGUGCUGGGGGCCUGCAGCUGGGCGAGAAAAGGGCCGAGUGCCAAGAGAAUUGUAGCGGCGCCUAUCCAGCCCCUGCUGUCAAACAGAAACAUCUAUGGUCCCGGUGAGGGUGCCACCCCUGGUCCACCAGACACAGACAUCAAAUAGCCUUACCUUGGUGAGAUUCAAGGCUGUCUGCUCCGAGAGGGACUUACUGGCAAACAGCCCAAGUAGAAGGACGUCAGCAAGGGGGGCCAAGGAAGAUGCAUCUGCUCACCAUGGGGCUUGCUGUGGAUGUCAUGAAGAGGCUCGGCAGCGUUGAAGACAAUAAAGCAUGCUUUCCUGGAAAAAACAAUGCUGGAUUAAGGACUAAAACAUGGUCACUUUUUUCACCACAAGGAAGACCUGUCCUUAUUAAAAAUGUACUGACUUCAGACACAUGGAGGAGAGUCUGAGAAUGUUUUGAGUAGGAAUGUUGCUGGGGAUAAAUUACGGGCUAAGAAAUCAGCUGACUGAGUCGACCGUAUGGAUUUUCCCAGGUCACAUUACUUUUCCAUUUGUAUUCUCAAUCGCUUUUGAACACCCUUCAUGCAAGUCAGCAUAUCAAAAGAUGAUUUUAUACAAGGAUUACCGAUUUCAAAUAAAUAAAGAACCAAAAGAAAUGGAUUUCAGUUGCAUCCAGACUGGUCGGAGGUAAAAUGAGAAGUGCUGCAACUCGCUGGGCCAGCAC
Molecule: long non-coding RNA, 787 nt
Organism: Nomascus leucogenys (northern white-cheeked gibbon)
Lineage: Eukaryota; Metazoa; Chordata; Mammalia; Primates; Hylobatidae
Exons: 3
Source: RefSeq, a predicted model, not a curated record